AAGUUACUCUCCUGUUGGCAGAUUUGGCAUUAUGAUCAUUCAGAUGAUCAUUCAGCCUGUCAAUCAAACUCCCUGCAAAGGGUCAAUUGUAGAACUUGCUGUGAUAAUUAAUACAUUUCCCCCAACGGGAAAAAGUUAACUUUAGGUGUUUAUUUCUAUUUUGUUAGAUUACAUCUGGUUAAUUUUCUUGCAGAUGUGUAAAUACAGUUCAAUCAGAGCAUAUUUCAUAAGACGUUUAUAGAAAUACUUCCUUAAAUUACAACACAAGCUCAUUCAUUUUUUGUUUUAAAAGUGUACUGGAUAACAGGAAUGUCCCGGCAACUCUGUUAGCAUUUAAGGUAAUUACCCACAACGUUAGUCAACCGGCAACUAAUGGUGUGGCUUCCUGUUUUUGCUUCCAGAAUAUCGUAGCAAUAACAACGAUUUUUCAGUUGGUGAGUUGAAGAAGAAAGAUUGCUUUUCGAAGACAAUUCCUCAUUUUUAUCUCAUAUGGAGAGCAGAUGGCAGGCCUGCAUCAGUGCAGGAGGCUUUCUGGGAUGACAGCCAUGAGAUUCCCCCUCAGGUGCCAUUGGAGCCCUCAUGUGCCGGGAGUGUGAUGGUUGGGACAUGGCACCUCCUCGUGAAAGAAUGGCUCUCUGUUCGCCUCCCUUUCUCACUUCGUAAUGGUGCUUGCUAACAACCUAAUAUUUCAAGUGUAUGUGUGCACACACAGUGGCUCAAACAGUAUGGACUCUCUUCUCUCCUUCUCUGACAGUCUAUUUCUUUGUGUGUGGGUAUGAAAACACGUCCUUGGAUUGGAGCUGAAGAUCUAAGGACAGAAUUAUCUUCUUAUUAGGAGUAUUCUGCUUAGUUUAAUGCUCGUUAAUUAGUUUAAUGAACCGCUAAUUGUCUAUGGAUAGUAUUUGUGAGAGAAAUUUGAACUACGGUAAUGCACUUCACAUUGGUUAUAUUGGAAGUAUAAAAAGCAGAAAUGCAAAGCUUGUGAUUUUAUUCAAACUUUAAGUCUGCUAUUUUAGCUAGUCAUGCUAUGAGUCAAAAGUCAAAGUAGAGAGAGUGUGAUGGUUGGAUAUUUUAUUUAAAUUAGUGAUUCUUUACAAUUUACAAGGCUUCACUGAAAAAAUACAAAGGAUAACAUGUUUUCUGUCUUUUCGUAGAAACCAAGGUCUGUGAUAAUUGACAACAUGCCACAAUUUAAAAAAAGUAACCUAAACAGAUCUAUGUGGCACAGAUCUCGGACCAGUGAGGAUUCAUUAUGGGCGGAGCUACCCAGUGUGACACCAUGAAAACAGAAGCCAAGCACCUUGCAAAAGGCCAUUUUACGGUGACAGGGAGUGUCUGCAUUAUGUACGAAAAUAUUCGAGACCUCAUCACAAUAUCAGAGAGAACAAGUGGAUACUCCACCAAAAGCCUCCUGCAUUUUUGAUGACUCGACCUUCUGUCCUCUUCCCGGAGAUGAAGUGUCUCAUAAGAAGAGAAAUGGCGACCAACAACAGUUCGGCCCCAUUAAGACAGCACGUCUAAUAUUCAUCCCGCCGUAUAUUCAUCAGAUUGGACAGACCGCAUCAACUCGGCUCAUUUCUGCAUUUUUAAUUGUUGUUUUUUACCAGGAGCUCAUCCUUGGGGAGGCAGUCCAGUCUCUCCGAAAGGCUAUAAAUCUGCACGUCUGCUCGGAAGGAUAUCCGAAACGAUCUCUACCCGGCUUCCCGGAGAGCGGGGCGGUGUGAUGGUAUGAGCGUUGAGGAGCAACUGACUGGCAUUACUAACUUAAAGGUAGAUUGUGUAAUUUCUGCGUCGUUAAACGGAAAUGCAAAAAUAAUGACUGUCAGACAUGUGCUAGUCCGCAAGAGUGCGUUAGUCCCCACCCACUUUUUAAGUGGCUCUAGUAUUUUUUCCAUUAAUUUUUCCCCUAGUGAUUUUUAAAAAGUCUUUGUUAAAGGAAAAGUCCACUUCUAGAACAAAAAUUUACAGAUAAUGUGCUCACCCCCCUUGUCAUACAAGAUGUUCAUGUUCUUCUUUCUUUAGCCGUAAAGAAAUUAUUUUUUUGAGGGAAACAUUUCAGGAUUUUCUCCAUAUAAUGGACUGAUAUGGUGCCCCGAAUUUGAACUUUCAAAAUGCAGUUUAAAUGCGGCUUCAAACGAUCCUAAAUGCAGUUGUAAAUGAUCCCAGCCGAAGAAGAAGGGUCUUAUCUAGCAAAACGAUCGGUUAUUUUCAUAAAAAUAAUACAAUUUAUAUACUUUUUAAAGUCUUGUUUUGUCUCUGCCUGAACUGUUUUUUCCGGUUCAUGACAGUUAGGGUAUGUUGAAAAACUCCCAUCUCAUGUUCUCCCUCAACUUCAAAAUCAUCUUAUAUCGCGGUUUUACCUUUUUUGUUAAGGGAGUUUGAUCUUUGCAUAUUCACUUUGCACAGGCUGUGUUGGUACUUCUGUAGCGAUGUAAGAUGAUUUUAAAAUAAUUUUUGAAGUUUAGGGAGAAAAUACGAUUGGAGUUUUUUGACAUACCCUAACUGUCUUGAACCAAAACACACAGAGUUCAGGCAGAGCAAGACAAGAUGAGCGUUUGAGAUUAAAAAGUAAUCUUGGCGAUUUCACGCCAGGCAUAAUUACAAACUGAAAAACUUGCGAAAUUCGCAGAACAAAAAGGUUCUCAGAAUGUCCAAUAUCUGUAUUUAUCAGAUAAAACUUUUGUUUUCUUUAGGAAUCCUGCAAGCACUUUAUUUUUUAUUGAUAUUAGAUGUAAUUCUUAAGUUAAGAUCAAAAUGAUCUGACAUGGUUAUAACAUGUGACAUGGUUAUAAACUUAAAUUGUAAAGCAGGGUCUAGAAAUAUAUAUGGUCUUUUUAUAAAAGCUUACAUUUUAUACAUUUAAUAACUAAAGAAUCUCGCAACCACUUUAUUUUCCCCCUUUACUUGUACUGCACAAAAAGUGAUUCAGUAACAUUGAAUGGUUUGCAUAUGGUUGUGUUCUUAAUUACAGCUUUCCUAAAAUGAUGUCCUAUUCAUAAAACAAGAAAUAUCCCAAUAUAUCGUCUUGUUUACAGUAUCACAAUGUAUCGCAACAUAUCGUAUCGCAACCCCUGUAUCGUGAUACGUAUCGUAUCGGCAGAUUUUUGGCAAUACACAGCCCUACAUUAUAUGUAAAUUUCUAUUCUGGAAGUGGACUUCUCCUUUAAUGGCACUUUAAAUGCAAACAGACAAAAUUAAUAUAAAAUAAGCUGAUAGUGUAUAUUUUUAAAUGUGAUUGUUGGUACACUUUACCAGUAUACUUAUGCAAUAUGAAAUAAUUAAAGAAAUUUUAUCUUUUUCUUAAUAAAACACAAGAUUUGGUUUUCAAAAAGCCUUUUUCCAAAGGGUACAUCUUGAAAAAAAAGGGGGUCAUCUUAUUAUCAGGGUCAUCUUAUAUUCGGACCAGUACGGUAAAUAAACUAACACUAAAGCUUAAUAAAAAACAAUUAAAUCUUUCAAAAUAUCAACAAAAGCUAUAAUAGUAUCAGUGAUAAUAAAAUGCAGAAAAUAAUACAGAAAUUGUACUUUUAUAGCUGCAGCAGCUUGUCACUGGGACAGUAACGCUUUAAGGAAAAAAAUGUACCUUAUAUACUCCUUAAAGGUGCACAUUAAUCAAGUCAGGUGAAGUCAAAUAGGCUUGACUUCAUUAUUAGUACCUUAGAGUAGAAAUAUGUAACCCUUAGUAUGAACCUUUUUGGGGUAAAUAAGGUACAAAGUUGUCCCUUUAAGGGUCCUGUGCCAGUGACAAGCUGUUUCUGCAUAGUUGUGUUGGGAAGUCUGAUUUAUUUUAAUGAAUAAUAACAAAAAAGUUUAGCAUAAUGGUGCUGUUUAUCACAAGAGUGUGUUUUGUUUAUAAAUGAUGGCGAGGUUCCACCAUCUAGAACGUAGUGAAAUCCAAAAAUGUCUAUAAGAGCACAUCCAGUGGUCCAUUAAAUUCAAACAAGAUGAAGUACCUUUCGUUUGCAAAGUAUCCAAAUGACUGGGUUAUCCAUAAAUAGGCAUUAACACAACUUCUAGAAAAAGAUAACUAUAUCACGAUAUGUACCGUUACUGUGAUAUAAAAUGACUCAUACGUGAUUCCGCCCACCCCUACUGUCCCGUGUGACUAUUGGUUAUCAUUGAGCGGUCCGCCCACUUCUGCUCUAUUUGUGCAGAUAUAACAUGUCAAUUAUGCCCACCUUUGAUCUCGAAGUGUAGUUAUUUUUCAGCGUUUCUUCCCUCUGUGGAAGAAAUAGCUAUAUUUUUAGGCUUCAUAAAGUGCACUUGAUAGAAUCCCCCCUCCUCUCGAUGAGAUGAAGUAGCCGUCUGUUUCAGAACCAUGUAAAUGAGGCCUUGCCAAUCCACAGCUCUGUGAUCCGACUCAGAAGUGAAGAGCUCAGUGGAGACUUUGAAAUGUUGAUUUAGUCCUGGUUUGAGGAUGGCGAGUCCCCCCGUCGCACCUUUAAAAAUACAGUUGAUCUAAGUUUCAUGUGCGCUUCAAAGUUGUGAAGGUUGCCUUUCUCUUCCCAAUUGUCUGAGAUGUCAAAGCUAAAUGUGAAGAUCCGCUCCGCCACGCCUGCAUCAAGAGCGCGGCGUGAUUGUUUGAAGUCCGCGAAAUCACAGACGAUAAGACUGAAGCCAAGGCAGUCACUGUCUUCUGGAAACUGUACUUGCUUUUGUACUUUGUGUUCUUUCUUACAGUACUUUUGGUACCUGCGCCAUGUGUUUUCCAUUCUCAAAAGUUUUAAAUGAGGAGGGUUGCGUUUCCUUUAUUGCAUUGGUUAAAGGGUUAUUUCACUCAGAAAUGAAAAUUCUGUCAUCAUUUACUCAACUUUGUGUCGUUCCAAAACAGCAGGGUAUUAUUCUUGUGCGUGGAACACAAAGGAGAAUUUUUUCGAAGAAUAUUCAUAUAGUCACAUGCUUCUUUUAUUGCUAUAUUCCAAGUCUUCUUAAGUCAUAUAAUUGGGUUUUUGGAGAAACAGACUAAAAUUGAGGUUGUAAUUUGCUCUCAAAACUCAUUUAUGACAAUAAAACUGUCAUUUGAGAAAGCUCGCGAAUGGCUUCAGAUUUUUUUUUGCCUAUUUUUGACUGAUGGGCUCAUCAUGAACUGUCCACAGAUUCUUCUGCUCUAUGAGGGUGAGUAAAUAUAGUUUUUUUUAAUAGGUUAAACAGUUGUGAGAACUUAUGACAAUGCACUUCUAAUUCUAGCUUCAUCAAGGUAAAAGGAAAUACAAUCCGGAAGUGUGGCGGUCGCAUCGGAUUUCUGAAACCAGGAAGUGCGGAACACAAAAGAAUCACAGAUCCCUUCCAAAACAUUAAAAACACGUCUUCCACCCUUUCAUACGAAAGCUGAUGGCUGGUUUUCUGGCUGCUAGUUAACAGCAGACCUUCCUCGCACACACCCCGAGGUGAAGAUUCAACCCGCCGACCACCCACUUCGCCAGACAUCUCCCCCGGGCAUCAACACCACAUGGCCAUCGUCCAGCCGACAUCUCCCCAGCGACGGGCCGCCGCUGCUAAUGAUGCCCCGUGUUUGGCAGUUCAGAAGCCUGUUUGAUCAGGUAUCAACCCUGCACGUCAAUGAUCUCUACAGAUAUCGCCGCAGAGAGCAGAAUGGAGGCUGAGGUUCAGAAGGAUCUGUCAUCAGAUCAAUCAGCUCUCCUCACCCUGUCAACCAGUCAGUCUCUGGGACCGAGGGCCAUCAAGGGCCAAUGCCUUGCCUUUGGUUGCACUUUCUCCUCAAGCAAUGGAAGGUUUUUAUCUCUAAUGAGGAAUGGGUUUGGUUUGUGGAAUAAAAUUGCAGAGGUGGUGUUGAUGCGUACAACCCAUCUGGUUGUACAAAAAGAGAAGCAUUUAAGAUAAACUACCAAAAGUGCAUGGACACUUGAACACCACACCUGGUGUUAAUUUUAAACCCGUAUGUCCUUUGUUCAUCUUUGGAACACAAAUUAAG
Long non-coding RNA from Labeo rohita (rohu), 5932 nucleotides. RefSeq lists it as uncharacterized. The transcript is spliced from 6 exons. The record is from RefSeq and is a predicted model, not a curated record. Lineage: Eukaryota; Metazoa; Chordata; Actinopteri; Cypriniformes; Cyprinidae.